This 499-nucleotide ribosomal RNA is filed under the name uncultured bacterium. RNAcentral's name for it is "partial 16S ribosomal RNA". It matches the Rfam family "Bacterial small subunit ribosomal RNA", at positions 28 to 507 of the family's 1533-position model. The record is from RNAcentral.
GACGAACGCUGGCGGCGUGCCUAAUACAUGCAAGUCGAGCGAAGUUUUUCCGGUGCUUGCACUAGAAAAACUUAGCGGCGAACGGGUGAGUAACACGUAAAGAACCUGCCUCAUAGACUGGGACAACUAUUGGAAACGAUAGCUAAUACCGGAUAACAGUAUUUCUCGCAUGAGAGAUAUUUAAAAGUUGGUUAUGCUAACACUAUGAGAUGGCUUUGCGGUGCAUUAGCUAGUUGGUGGGGUAAAGGCCCACCAAGGCGACGAUGCAUAGCCGACCUGAGAGGGUGAUCGGCCACACUGUGACUGAGACACGGCCCAGACUCCUACGGGAGGCAGCAGUAGGGAAUCUUCCGCAAUGGGCGAAAGCCCGACGGAGCAACGCCGCGUGAGUGAAGAAGGAUUUCGGUUCGUAAAGCUCUGUUGUUAGGGAAGAAUGGAUAUGUAGUAACUAUACAUGUAAGAGACGGUACCUAACCAGAAAGCCACGGCUAACUACGUG